RNAcentral lists this ribosomal RNA (330 nucleotides) under uncultured eukaryote. RNAcentral's name for it is "partial 18S ribosomal RNA". It matches the Rfam family "Eukaryotic small subunit ribosomal RNA", at positions 1470 to 1796 of the family's 1831-position model. The record is from RNAcentral.
CCCUUAGAUGUUCUGGGCCGCACGCGCGCUACACUGAUGCAUUCAGCGAGUCCAUCCUUGCCCGAAAGGGCUGGGUAAUCUUUUGAAAUUGCAUCGUGAUGGGGCUUGCGGGUUGCAACUACCCGCACCAACGAGGAAUUCCUAGUAAACGCAAGUCAACAACUUGCAUUGAUUACGUCCCUGCCCUUUGUACACACCGCCCGUCGCUCCUACCGAUUGAACGGUUUAGUGAGGGCCUCGGAUUGGUCUCGGCCCGCUCUUUACCGGGCGGCGCCGUUGGUCGAGAAGACGCUCGAACUUGAUCGUUUAGAGGAAGUAAAAGUCGUAACA